UACGUAGGGUGCGAGCGUUAAUCGGAAUUACUGGGCGUAAAGCGUGCGCAGGCGGUUUUAUAAGCCAGAUGUGAAAUCCCCGGGCUUAACCUGGGAACUGCAUUUGUGACUGUAAGACUAGAGUGCGGCAGAGGGGGGUAGAAUUCCACGUGUAGCAGUGAAAUGCGUAGAUAUGCGGAGGAACACCGAUGGCGAAGGCAGCCCCCUGGGUCGACACUGACGCUCAGGCACGAAAGCGUGGGGAGCAAACAGG
This 253-nucleotide ribosomal RNA is filed under the name uncultured bacterium. Its description in RNAcentral is "partial 16S ribosomal RNA". It matches the Rfam family "Bacterial small subunit ribosomal RNA", at positions 524 to 776 of the family's 1533-position model. The record is from RNAcentral.